RNAcentral lists this ribosomal RNA (254 nucleotides) under uncultured bacterium. RNAcentral describes it as "partial 16S ribosomal RNA". It matches the Rfam family "Archaeal small subunit ribosomal RNA", at positions 474 to 727 of the family's 1478-position model. The record is from RNAcentral.
CCCCGGCGCCACAAGUGGCAAUCACGAUUAUUGGGUCUAAAGCGUCCGUAGCCGGCUUUUUAAGUUUCUUGUGAAAUUGUUGUGCUUAACAUAACAACGCGCAAGAAAUACUGUUAAGCUAGGGACCGGGAGGAGUUAGAAGUACUCUUAGGGGAGCGGUUAAAUGUGAUAAUCCUUGGAGGACUGCCAGUGGCGAAGGCGUCUAACUAGAACGGGUCCGACGGUGAGGGACGAAAGCUAGGGGAUCAAGCCGG